Regulatory RNA element from Clostridium puniceum, 58 nucleotides. It matches the Rfam family "Na+ riboswitch aptamer (DUF1646)". From Rfam's summary of the family: Proteobacteria, NC10, Acidobacteria, Verrucomicrobia. Lineage (Clostridia) The riboswitch of Na+ was first reported in a comparative analysis of intergenic regions and called DUF1646 RNA, it was also suggested that it acts as cis-reg RNA present upstream of Na+ genes. Afterward it was reported as a riboswitch that selectively senses Na+. The record is from Rfam. Lineage: Bacteria; Bacillati; Bacillota; Clostridia; Eubacteriales; Clostridiaceae.
GGUUGGGCAAAUUUUAUAAUUUGCUUUCAAGCAAUUUUAGUUUCUGGGGUGGGAAACU